RNAcentral lists this ribosomal RNA (473 nucleotides) under uncultured bacterium. Its description in RNAcentral is "bacterial SSU rRNA". It matches the Rfam family "Bacterial small subunit ribosomal RNA", at positions 28 to 507 of the family's 1533-position model. The record is from RNAcentral.
GAUGAACGCUAGCGGCCAGGCCUAAUCAUGCAAGGCGAAGGGGCAGCAAUGUCACUGUCGUACGGGUGCGUAACGCGUAUGCAACCUACCUAUCACAGGGGAAUAGCCUUUGGAAACAGGGAUUAAUACCGCAUAAAGCAGGGACACCGCAUGGUGAUAUUGCUAAAGAUUUAUCGGUGAUAGAUGGGCAUGCGUCUGAUUAGUUAGUUGGCAGGGUAACGGCCUACCAAGACGAUGAUCAGUAGGGGGCGUCAGAGCGUGGUCCCCCACACUGGUACUGAGACACGGACCAGACUCCUACGGGAGGCAGCAGUGAGGAAUUUUGGACAAUGGGCGCAAGCCUGAUCCAGCCAUGCCGCGUGCGGGAAGAAGGCCUUCGGGUUGUAAACCGCUUUUGUCAGGGAAGAAAUCUUCUGGGUUAAUACCUCGGGAGGAUGACGGUACCUGAAGAAUAAGCACCGGCUAACUACGUG